AACGAACGCUGGCGGCAUGCCUAACACAUGCAAGUCGAACGAAGUCUUCGGACUUAGUGGCGCACGGGUGAGUAACGCGUGGGAACCUGCCCUUCGGUACGGAAUAACGUCGGGAAACUGACGCUAAUACCGUAUAUGUCUCCGGGAUGAAAGAUUUAUCGCCGGGGAGGGCCCGCGUCCGAUUAGCUAGUUGGUGAGGU
Molecule: ribosomal RNA, 200 nt
Filed under: uncultured bacterium
Lineage: Bacteria
Description: partial 16S ribosomal RNA
Rfam family: Bacterial small subunit ribosomal RNA
Source: RNAcentral